GUAUUUUUCCUCCAGAACCAGAGCCAUCAAUAGACCUGAAGAACACUGUGAUUAAACAUAUAGGACAUUCCAAUCAUUAUAGUCAAUUCUUAGCUAGCUUUGUGGACAUUCGAUGGAAUAUUGUAUCCUUUGUAUUUUGGAGUUAAGAAUGACGUGACUGUGACACAGAGAAAAAGAUUAGCAGGGGGCUCAGUAACCAAUGCUACUGAAAAUUGAGUUGGGCCCGUAAAUCUGUAAUGAAAAUCUGCAUAGUGCUUACAUUAAUUUUCAUAUGGUGGCAGGUUGGGCCCCUAGUCAGAAAAUGUUAGUCUUAUUCCCUCAGUCGUCCAUUUUCACUGAAGUAUUACACAUUUGUGUUUAGGGGCCAGCUGAAGCACGCCUCAAGGUGUGAGAUUUUCUUGCUGUGUUGUAAACCUAUUGGUGGUCUUUGUCUGUUUUCUGCUCUUUAGUUAGGUUGUUGUCUCUUUGACACACUCCCCAUUUCAAUUCUCAAUUUAAUUGGAUAGAUAUGAUGAAUUUGUGAGGGAAAACUUGAUCACAGGUGAUUCAAAAAUCUAAAUGUUCAACAAUUUACUAAAUUUAUAAAAAAAUCUUUAAGAUCGCCCAUCAAACUCAUACUUUGAUAUAGACAAUUGAGAUUCUUCAAAUGAUGGCUUGUAUCAUGUCAUGUCCUUUAGUGAGAUGUUAGACCUUGAUAUGUACUUUGUAUUAUUUGUAUAUAUAUAUAUCAGAAAAGAAAAACUGAUUUCCUUAACUUGUAAAUAGCCAUCAGAAACAUGUUGUGGUAAAGCUAGUAUUGAACACCUUAAAUGGACUAAAGAACAGUUAGAGUUAAUCUCAGUAUCAAAGGUUUCCUGGGGUAAGAUAUGAUAAUGAUGAGGGGCACAUUACAAUGGGGAUAUUAUUACUGGGGAUUUUAUAGAAAGUCUAUUCAAGUGGGAAGUAUGGGAGGGGUUGUACAACAAAUUUUCAUUUAUGUAUGUGUUGAGGUAGAUAGAAUUCUGAUAUAACUGAAAAUAAAAAUAUUUUGGUUAGUGGUGUAAAAAGAAAAGUGUUGUUCAUCCUCUAAUCCUGUUAGUUUUCCCCUGGAAUAACCCUAAAUGAAAUUGCUGAAUUGCCAUUGGAUAUUUUUAAAUUCUAAGUGAUCAAAUAUGUCUUUGAUAUUUAUAGUGACUAUAUAUAUGAAUUCCUACCAAAUAUAGAGCUAAAAGUAUGUGAUAUCAGAAAAGUCUGAAAAAAGCACCACAAUAUAUGGGCAAUUAAACAUUUCAGUUCUAAUAUUUGUAAGUCUUUAAAAAAUUAAAUGGGUGUCACCAAAAGUAUUUGAUGGUACAACUGACUCCACACCUCAUUAGAAAACAAAAUACACAAGAAAAACAAAACAUCAGUAAACAAUGAAUAGAUUGAUCUAGAUAGCCAUAACAUUAUAUGUUAUUUAGGUCUCAGACAGGGUAUAUACUUUGACAUUCCCGGCUUAGAGUUUAUAUUCCCUGAGCUGAAGGCUAAGGGGAUAUAAGCCCUAAGCCGGGAAUGUCAUAGUAUAUACCCUAUCUGAGACCUGAAUUACACAUAUAUUAGGGAUUACCUCUGUCUCAAUGUUUUUCCAGUGCAGGUACGCCUAUUUGUUUAACAUAAUAAUGAUUCAUGAUGCAGCAUGUAUAUUCAUUACAUCAUGUUUAAUUUAUUGUUACUUAAUAUUGUGAGUAAUCCAUUUAAAUGCACCUUUUUUAUCUUGACAUUUUUUUUUCCUUUAGGAAUAUGUUUCCAAUAAAGUUUUUUGAUUUCAUAUUUUGUGUUUGUAUGUGUGUGUGGCUUUGUUUUUUACAACACAUAUAUUGAAAAACCCAACCUGAUAUGUUCAGCGUACGUGAAGGAUUUUGUAAUUUGCUGUAAAAAUUGUUUUGAUCUUGUAUGUAAUUAUUUAUGAUAACACUUUAAACAUUAAAUUUUAGUAGUUAUUGUUUAAAUUGCGUGAUUUUGUGUUGAAAAUGUAUUAUUGACGGAUGCACGUCAUUAUUUUCCCUGUGAGCCUCUGACAUUCCUUAGUGUUCUGUAUAGCUUUUGACUAUGUCACAUAGUUACUGGUGUUAUGAUGACAUUUUUGAGGUUCCAAUUCGGGAUAAAAUCGUCCUAUAUACCCCGGCAGUUUCCUCAAUAUAUACAUGAUAUACUGACAUCUGCUGUUAUCCAAUCACAAACCUCGACACAUUGGUAAUCGUUAAUAUAAGUUUAUAUUAUUUUUUCCAGAUAUAAGAAUAAAUGAUGAGUUUUAUACAGAUACAUGUAAUCCUGAAGUAUUGGUUGGUAGACUUCUGUUAUUGGAUGUUAAUCUGACCUUGAAAGAAGGUAAGUGUCACAUUACAAAUGGAUUAUAUAUAAUUUAUACUGUGGAUUCAUUUAUUUUCAUGGGUUCCAAAUUUUCGUGGAUUGGGGAAAACUUGCAUUUUAAACAGAUAUAUCAUGUUAAGGAGGGGUAUUUGUGAAAAAUACCAGUCGAGAGAAUGUUAAAUUUCAUGAGCCGUAAGGCGAGGGAAAUUCUUUCUCAAGACUGGUAUUUCUUUCGCAAAUACCCCUCAAGAACAUGCUAUAUCUGUUUAAUUACACUGAAUGUUCACUUUCAAAAACGCAUUGAUGAUCGUAAUGUUACAAGCGUCCAGUAGGAUAGAGUAUUUUUUGGCAAAUACCACGGCAGAGAGGGUAAAAAAAGACAUAUCCUUUAUGCAUAUACCCUGGCGGCGUUAAAAAAUUAACGAUAUUCAAUUGAUAACAGUAAAUUGUCGGAAAAUACACUGGCUAUCAACCAAUCAAAACCCAGGAUUCUUACAUAAGGUGUAAUUAUCGUGGAUAUUUAAUUUUGUGGUUUUGGCAAAGUCUGCACAUAUUUCUUUGGAAAUUUGUAAAUCGUUGAACAUUUGAAUUCGUGGUUCCCCGGUACACACAAAAUCCACGAAAAUUGAUCUACAACAAAUAUAAGAGAAUCCACAGUAACAUUGAAAAAAAUUGUUUGAUCAAUUCAAAAUCAAUUUUAUCAAGGUUAAUUUUAACAAUUGUUAGGUGCUGAUCUGGAAGAGAAUCUGAAGGGAUAUGUUGUAAAUAUUCUCGACACAAAAUCUUUACAAGCUUGACAAAAACUUGAAAAGAAAAGAAACAAUGAAUUAAUGUACGAACAAUUUCUGACACCUCUAUCCAAGGGAAAGAUUGUCCCUAGCAUUUGUUAAAGUAGAUUUCUAUGCUAAGAUGGCAAUGAAGCUACAUACUGCCUUUUAGUCUUAAAAUUUAUUUUGUACUUACAGUACAAAAUUUGUGCUCUAAACACCAAAUCCAGUAUUUCAUUUGUUGAUUUUAUAAAGAUAUGAGUACACUGAAAAUUGGAUGUUAGGUACAUAUGAACUAUAGUAUCUAUUGGUGGCCUUCGGCUGUUGUUUGCUCUUUGGUCGGAAACAUUCCCCAUUUCCAUUCUCAAUUUUUUAAAACCAAACGCAUUUUAAUGGGUUUUUUUGUGUUUGUCUUGUAACUAUCUCAUCAUGUAAAUUGUUUUUUCUAUGACAGUUGGUAGAUUUCUAAGUUGAUAAUUAAAUUUUAAUUUUGUAUAUUUGAACAUUGAAGAUGAGCAUUCAUUUUAUGUUAAUACUAUUUUGCACAGAUUUAGAGGCCAGUGAAGGUGAACUUGAAGUAUCAUGCUGUAGUAAAGUUAAUGGUGAGAUAGACAGUAUGUGUACUUUAAUGGGAACAGACUCUCUUUUGGUGCCAAAUGUGAGUACAUUUAUACAUAAAACUCUGUAGUGGAAGAUCCAGGGGUUAGAACCCCACCCCCCUUUUUUUAAGAUUAGAAUGGGAACGAUGCAAAUAUUAAAUAUGAUUAUUAGAACUUGUAUUUUGAACUAGAUACCUAUAAUGAUUUACUUUUAUGAAUUGUUACUUGGAUGGUGAGUCGUCUCAGUGGCACUCAUACCACAUCUUUCUAUAUCUACAUAUAUCUGUAAUCAGAUUUCAAUGAAGUCACAAUAAAUAUUUUUGCUGUUUUGUCCAUUUCAAAAAUAUCAACUAUAAAUGCACACAAUAAUUUCUUCCUGAACCUCUGUAUAUAUUUAUAGGAAGAUAUGGGAUGAGUGUCUAUGCCUAAAUCUCUGUUUGUAUGACAACCUACAUCUUACAUGUGUAAACUGUUGCAAAUAAACAUAAAUAAAUUAAUACAAUAAAAUAAAAUAUACAGCAUCAACACAUUAACAUAGAAAAAGAAACAAGAAUACAAUAUACAUAAGCCAUAAGAGUACAUUUGUAUUGUUGAAAAGUUGUGAAUAAAUUUGAUUAAAACUACCUGUGUUGAAACAGUCAUAUGAACAUGUGAAAAGAUUGAACAGCUUUCUUUAGUCUCCAUGUCAAAAUGUUAAUAAAAACAUUCAUAUAACUAAAAUUGGUCUGGGAAAAGCACUAAACUCUAUCAUUUAAGAAAACGUUUAGUGAAGAAAAAAAAAUCCAAUGGAAGAGGUGAAAAAAUUUUGUAAGAAAAUCACCUAAAACGUAAUACUUUACCUGAGCAAUUGUGGUUAUUUCUGAACUAAUAUUGUUUGUUAAUGAAACAACCUACUUAAAGGAAAUUAGAGACAGAAACAUUAGGAUGAUAAAUGUGAAAUAUUUGAGAAAACAAACUUUUAAGGAAGCUGAAUAAAUGUGUAAGAGUAACAGAAAAGAAUUAAAACUUUAUGUACAGUCCUACAAUAUAGAAAACAAAAUAUGUACAGUCCUACAUUAUAGAAAACAAAAUAUGUGUAGUUCUACAUAAUAGAAAACAAAAUAUGUACAGUUCCUACAAUAUAGAAAACAAAAUAUGUGUAGUUCUACAUAAUAGAAAACAAAAUGUGUACAGUCCUACAUUAUGGAAAACAAAAUAUGUACAGUCCUACAUUAUAGAAAACAAAAUAUGUACAGUCCUACAAUAUAGAAAACAAAAUAUGUGUAGUUCUACAUAAUAGAAAACAAAAUAUGUACAGUCCUACAAUAUAGAAAACAAAAUAUGUGUAGUUCUACAUAAUAGAAAACAAAAUAUGUACAGUCCUACAAUAUAGAAAACAAAAUAUGUGUAGUUCUACAUAAUAGAAAACAAAAUGUGUACAGUCCUACAUUAUAGAGAAAAAAAAAUAUGUACAGUCCUACAAUAUAGUAAACAAAAAUAUGUACAUCCUACAUUAUAGAAAACAAAAUAUGUACAGUCUACAAUAUAAAACAAAAUAUGUGUAGUUCUACAUAAUAGAAACCAAAUAUGUGUACAGUUCUACAUAAUAGAAAACAAAAUAUGUGCAGUUCUACAUAACAGAAAACAAAAUAUGUACAGUUCUACAUAAUAGAAAACAAAAUAUAAUAGAAAACAAAAUAUGUGCAGUUCUACAUAAUAGAAAACAAAAUAUGUACAGUUCUACAUAAUAGAAAACAAAAUAUGUACAGUCCUACAUUAUAGAAAACAAAAUAUGUACAGUUCUACAUUAUAGAAAAUAAAAUAUGUACAGUCCUACAUUAUAGAAAACAAAAUAUGUGCAGUUCUACAUUAUAGAAAACAAAAUAUGUACAGUCCUACAAUAUAGAAAACAAAAUAUGUACAGUCCUACAUUAUAGAAAACAAAAUAUGUACAGUCCUACAUUAUAGAAAACAAAAUAUGUACAGUCCUACAUUAUAGAAAACAAAAUAUGUGUGCAUUUAAACCAAAAUUUAUAAUUAUUUUCAGGUUGAUGUUUCUAGUGCUGUGAAGUUUUCAACAUCAUUCCUAUUUCAUGUUAGUGGACAUUAUACAUUGAAUGUUAAAUUCACUGUAAGACGGACUAACACUGAGAGUAUAGUGUUCAAAUGUUAUAAGAUUCUGUUGAUUGUUGACGAAGAGGACCGAUAAAAUAAAUGUUAUAACAUUCUGUUGAUUGUUGACGAAGAGGACCGAUAGAAUUAAUGAACUUUUUUAUUAACCAUAGAAAUCGUUAACGAAGUCAUGUGUGCUCUUUUUAGCUGAAUGGGUUUCUACUAGGAGUGAUUUAUAAAACCAAGUGUCAUCAACUUUUGAUAAUCCACUCAAAAGUAAUUUCUGGACUAAAGGGAAUGUUAAUGAAGUUAUAUGUGCUCUUUUCAGCUGAAAUCGUCUCUUCCGGGUGUGAAUUAUUAAACCAAGUGUCGUCAAGUUUCAAUAAUCCACUCAAAAGUCAUUUCUGGACUAAAGGGAAUGUUAACGAAGUGAUGUGUGCUCUUUUCAGCUGAAUUCGUCUCUUCCAGGUGUGAAUAAUAAAACCAAGUGUCGUCAAGUUUCAAUGAUCCGCUCAAAAGUAAUUUCUUGACUAGCGAAGUUUUAUGUGCUCUUUUCAACUGAAUUCUUCUCUUCCAGGUGUGAAUUAUAAAACCAAUUGUCAUCAAAUUUCAAUAAACCAGUUUAAAAAUAACAUCUGGGAAAAACCAGGUUAGGGAAAUACCUGUCAUACAAGUUUACAAGGUGACACAUUGAAACCAUCACAUGUUUAUUCACUUCAAGUUAUUUGAAAAAUUGUCCAAGUUAACCAUUUAAAACUCAACUAUUUUAUUUUAUUCAAGUUUUUAAUAUGACAUCAUUUUGAGCUUUACAACUACUUAUAUUUUGAUUAACCAGAUAAAUUAUAAAUAGAAAAUUAGAUUUUCUCCCAUGUUUGAAUUUGCUACACACAUUAUUGCUUUCUAAAGAUCAGAUUCAUAGAAAAUAAAACUUUUAUACUGCAUUUAUUGUGAACUAUGGACAUUGAUUCAUUUAUUUAAUGCUGGUAUUUAUCCAAGGCUGAUUUAUUUUUUAAGCCAUUAAUACAAUUAAAAUAUUGAGUUCAGUAUCAACAGGUGAUUUUUAAAUACUGUAAAUUCCGA
Molecule: long non-coding RNA, 6865 nt
Filed under: Mytilus galloprovincialis (Mediterranean mussel)
Lineage: Eukaryota; Metazoa; Mollusca; Bivalvia; Mytilida; Mytilidae
Source: RNAcentral